This 1841-nucleotide long non-coding RNA is filed under the name Anas platyrhynchos platyrhynchos (common mallard). Its description in RNAcentral is "lncRNA (ENSAPLG00000030059.1)". The record is from RNAcentral. Lineage: Eukaryota; Metazoa; Chordata; Aves; Anseriformes; Anatidae.
GCACACCCAGCGGCCCCCCCGCGCUCGCAGGCUACCUUAAAAAAAACUUUGUCGGAGCGGGGCUCCUCUCCAGCGCUCGGCCAGGCAGAGAAUCCCUCGGAAAUCCACAAAACGGGGGUCGGCUCCAAAAACUUGGGUGCCCCCCCCACCCCCCCCGCGCACCUCCCCAGGCGCACCCCGCGCGCGGCGGGGCCGGGCCGGGCGCACCCAUGGGUGCCACCGCGCCUCCCCCCGGCUCUCUCCUUCCCCCCUGCGGCGUGGAAAGAAAAAAAAACAAAAACCCCGAGAUCCGAGCAUCCUCGGCUGCCAGGGCGAGACAAAAGCCUCGGGAGAUGGGAGGCGAGGAAAUGUCCACCGGGAGGAGGAGGAGGAGGAGGAAGGCGGCUGCCGGGUGGGCAGCGAGCAGCCGGCGCCUGUCCCCGGCGGGUCCCCAACAGCACCGAAGCCCAGGCAGCUGUUCCUCGCCUCCUCCCUGCGUGCGCAGCCACAGACUCCUCAGAUGUGGACUAAUUGGAGAGAGUUCGGAGGGCAGCAAAGAGCGCACAGAGGGCAGCAAAACAACCUGUUGAAAAAAAAAGCCCCCAAGAGCUGGAUUUGUCUGGUCUGGAAAUCAGAAGGCAGAAGAGACGUGAUGCAGUCUUCAAUUAUGCAAAAGGGAAGGGAUGAGAGCAAAGAGUGCUCCAGCCCUCGUGGCAGCGCUGAGAGCUGCAGAGCCUGCCCCAAAAGCCAUAGGAUGCCGAGGAAAAUGAGUGCUGCUCUCCUGGAGAAAGCAGCUGCCAUCGCAUGGGAAAGCAGCAGACAAUCCUCACCCAGAAAGCUGUCCAGCAACAGAAACUUGUGAGACUGUUUUCAGGAGGGAAAACAGAGCUAUUUUCAGCCCGGGCAGCACUGAGCACCUCCAGGGUGAGCGAUGCUGCGGAGCUGGAAGCUGUGGAAGCUGCACCCCAAAGGAGAUGAUCCCUGAACACUGAAAUUGUCUUCUAUAAACAUAUAUGUAUAAACCUAUGUAUAAAUAUAUAAAAUUAUCCAUCGGGUAUUGCAGACAGUGAUAUCAAACACCUCCAGGAUGCUCUGGCCACUUUUUGUCGGUGGGGUUGGUGAUGGGACGAGCCCUGCCUGGUGCUACCUGGUGCCAGCACCACCCCGUGCCCAGGACCAGCACCAGCACUGCUCUCCAUGGCUGAGCUCCCUCCUGCGUGCCUUUUCCUGCUGCUCAUCCCUCUCUGGUGCCCAAGGUGUAAUUACCCCUCGUGUGUUUUAAGCGCAUCUGCCACCUGGAAACCACGCAGACCCCGUACCCUCGCCUUGCCCCCCUCCACCUGCACGCAGCCCCGGAGCUAGGCGCACAGACGUUUACCCACCGGUGUUUUCUCCCCCCCCCCCUGCUUGCGUCUGAGCUGCUUGACUCAAAUCUGAGCCGUUUCUCAGGGUCUGUCUCACAGCCCAGUCAACACGGAGGGAGCCGGUGCCAAAAACCCAGUUCCUUCGGAUCUGAUUGUUUGUUUUCCUCCCUUCCCAGUUUGGGAUUUUUGAAAGGGAGCCACACGAAACCAACUGCUCGCUGUUCACUGCGAAGCCUGGGGCUGCAUUUCAAUCGUUUGCCCGAGGAUCAGGUGGAUGGAGAGGGAAUUAGCUCCUCACAACAGCCCUGCGCCCGCACACGCUGCCCCUGGGGCCGUCGGCUCCCCUAAAACCACCCCAAACACCACCCCAGCACCUCCACCUCCUGCCCCCUUCAUCCCAUGCUGCUAACACUGCUGCUGUCUCCUUACCCAAAAUAUUAACUCAAGGCAGUCUGAGACGCUUCCCAAAACCCACCCUGUGAUGCUCCUCUGCUCACA